Molecule: long non-coding RNA, 201 nt
Organism: Oncorhynchus keta (chum salmon)
Lineage: Eukaryota; Metazoa; Chordata; Actinopteri; Salmoniformes; Salmonidae
Exons: 3
Source: RefSeq, a predicted model, not a curated record
CUGCUGUCUCAUAGGAGACCUGGUGGAGAGAAACAGGGAGGGACUGUGGAGGUGCUGCUGUCUCAAUAGGAGACCUGGUGGAGAGAAACAGGGAGGGACUGUGGAGGUGCUGCUGUCUCAAUAGGAGACCUGGUGGAGAGAAACAGGGAGGGACUGUGGAGGUGCUGCUGUCUCAUAGGAGACCUGGUGGAGAGAAACAGG